Molecule: long non-coding RNA, 1642 nt
Organism: Eleginops maclovinus (Patagonian blennie)
Lineage: Eukaryota; Metazoa; Chordata; Actinopteri; Perciformes; Eleginopidae
Exons: 2
Source: RefSeq, a predicted model, not a curated record
CACACACACACACACACACACACACACACACACACACACACACACACACGAGGCUCCUCCCUCUCACACAGAGAAAGGUAGAACAGCAACUGAUCAACAGAAGAGAGAUCUUACAUCUGGAGCUUUGAGGUCACUUGUAGCCCACAGACAGAUCCACUGCUGCCGAAACAAGGACUGCUGUGUAAUGGCUGCCCUCAGGGUUUUCCCCUUUCUUUCCGUCUUUCUGCUGCUGGUUCAUCAAUCAUUUGCCAAAAACGACGCUCCCUGCCAACUCUCCAAUUGGAACAACGCCUUCAACACCUUCAUGAAGCGCCACAUUCGCUCUGGUACUCCUACCACUCUGGACCAGAACCAAUGGAUGAAUUACAUCAGGAAUAACGGCGGCUGUUCCAGACCAACCCAGUCCUUCCUGCACCCGAACGACCUGGACAAGGUGAAGGCUGUGUGCACACCCAAGGGGGGAGCCGUGUACAAGGACAACCUGUGCAUCAGCUGGCAGCCUUUCACUUUUAUCACCGUGAGGAGUGAACAAGGGACAUGCGGGAUCAAGAGCAUCAGAGAGGAAACCAAACAUCUGAUUCUGGGCUGUGACAAGCUGAGCAAUCAGUGCCUGCCAGUCCAUUUUGAAGGUAAUCCUGACAAUAUAAAACCAGGAAACAACGCCAAAGGCUGCCAGGACCCAAGCACUGGUGAUGCCCCCAGCUUCAAACUGACAUGGCUCUGCUUGUUAUCCGUUCUUCUUAUUAUUAUUCUCUGUCAAAAUUAACUUGAGAAACUCGAUAGGACGAAAGGGUCUCGUGGACACAUUUUUAAAAAAAAAACUUGAAUUCGAAAGAGUUUGGCUUUAAAACAGUAUUUUAUAUGAAUAGCUAAAAUACCAAAAUAUCAACCAUAUUUUUUGUAAUAAUAUUUCAAUGUAUUUUUGUACCACUAUUAUCUGUUUGUGCCUAUCUGUAAGUUUGUAUCUGUGACGGAUAAUCAGAGUUGGUGUUCCAAAGGCAUUCAUUGUAUUUACAGCUACAGCAGUUGAUGCAUAAAGGAUGCUUUUUGUGUAUUUUACAUUAGAAAUUUUACAUAAAAAAGGGAUUUCAUUGUAUUUAAUGCACAGUAUGGUUCAGUAAACAGAAGAUUUGGAAUUCAUUUAGACUACUGUCAUUUCCACAAUGUUUCUGUUCAGUCUGUAAUAUCUGUAACAGAUUAUGGCAAAAACGUAACCCUGACCACAAAGCAUGUUAUACCAAUACAUUUCAAAAUAGACAAACAAGAAGAACAAGAGAAAACUCUCAAGUUUCUGUCUUAAAUACGAAUAAGACUUAAGUUGUGUGACAGUAUACAAAUAUUUUCUACACAUGAAGUACCAACAUUUGCAUGAUUCAAAUACAAACUCAACCAAAACCACCAAUAAUCGGCCUCCACAUGCGAAGACUGCGAACACACAGAUGAUGGCAGUAUUGCACCAAUAGCCCCUCUCAGAAAGAGGUCAAAGAAAUCGGGUUAGUGUUUUUCAACCAUUUUAGCAGUAAACUGUUUUGAGAUUUAUGUUGGUGAGGUUGUUGUUUUGUAUUCCUCAUAUCAGUGUUUCCAACUUGUUUCAAAUACCCAAUGUACGGUAUAAACACACAAAUAAACCACUUAUGUGUCA